This 253-nucleotide ribosomal RNA is filed under the name uncultured bacterium. RNAcentral's name for it is "partial 16S ribosomal RNA". It matches the Rfam family "Bacterial small subunit ribosomal RNA", at positions 524 to 776 of the family's 1533-position model. The record is from RNAcentral.
UACGUAGGGUGCGAGCGUUAAUCGGAAUUACUGGGCGUAAAGCGUGCGCAGGCGGCUUCGCAAGUCAGACGUGAAAUCCCCGGGCUUAACCUGGGAAUGGCGUUUGAAACUACGGAGCUGGAGUGUGGCAGAGGGAGGUAGAAUUCCACGUGUAGCGGUGAAAUGCGUAGAUAUGUGGAGGAACACCGGUGGCGAAGGCGGCAUCCUGGACCAACACUGACGCUGAGGAGCGAAAGCCAGGGGAGCAAACGGG